RNAcentral lists this transfer RNA (74 nucleotides) under Schistocerca americana (American grasshopper). Its description in RNAcentral is "tRNA-Asn". It matches the Rfam family "tRNA". From Rfam's summary of the family: Transfer RNA (tRNA) molecules are approximately 80 nucleotides in length. Lineage: Eukaryota; Metazoa; Arthropoda; Insecta; Orthoptera; Acrididae. RNAcentral also lists the same sequence under 5 other names. The record is from RNAcentral.
GCCUCCGUGGCGCAAUCGGCUAGCGCGUUCGGCUGUUAACCGAAAGGUUGGUGGUUCGAGCCCACCCAGGGGCG